GAAAUGCGAUACGCAAUGCGAAUUGCAGAAAUCCGCGAGUCAUCAGAUCUUUGAACGCAAGUGGCGCUGGUGUAAUAACCAGUAUGUUUGUUUCAGUGUGUUCAGGAAUCCAAAAUCUAAAUGUGAUUGAAGAGUUGUAAUAAUACUUUUCUCUCAUUAAACAAGGCAACGCUUGAAUGCGUUCACCGAACGAAGUAGUCACAUUUCUAAUGUGAUCUCGUUAGGUAUGAACAAAUUCAAUUAAAAGUGAUGCGAAUUAUACAACCCCUAUUGACACCUGAAAUCAAGCAAGGUCACCCGCUGAACUUAA
This 310-nucleotide unclassified non-coding RNA is filed under the name uncultured fungus. RNAcentral describes it as "sequence contains ITS1". The stretch from base 1 to 101 matches the Rfam family "5.8S ribosomal RNA", at positions 50 to 154 of the family's 154-position model. Lineage: Eukaryota; Fungi. The record is from RNAcentral.